Non-coding RNA from Odocoileus virginianus texanus, 545 nucleotides. The record is from RefSeq and is a predicted model, not a curated record. NCBI's taxonomy places the organism in Eukaryota, Metazoa, Chordata, Mammalia, Artiodactyla, Cervidae.
CUUCAUGAAGGUACUAAAUACCCUUGUGGCACCCUUGUGAGCUUGAUAUGGAAUUUGAAAGAAAAGUCACAAUGGUAGAAGGGUGUCAUAGAAGAAUGCUCAAUACAUCCAGGGAAAAUGAAGGUGUAUGUCAUGAAAGGAGAAACUGGAGCAUUUUAUAGCCAGAUUUGGGGGGCAGAAACCUGUGAGAGAACAGAGUGAAGAGGGAAAAAAUAAAAUAGAAGAGAAAAAGGAGUGUAGUAAUUGAUGGAGCAAGGUGUAUGAGCACUUUUAUAGACAUUAAAGUUGUCAGCCCUUCAUCUACUCUUUUUCCUUGCAAUGAUUUCCCAAGGAACAUUGAAAGGGAGCAGUAUCAUCUCCUCAAUCAUACUGCUGAAGGACCAGUGAAUUUGUCUGACAGCAUCUCGCUAAAACCUUGCAACAUCCCUGUGAAGAAGCAGUACAUGGUAAAACACAGAUCUGUAUAUCCUGAGUGGCAAAACAGAGCAAAGCAAAAAGUUCCAAAAAUGUAAUGGAGACAUAGUAAAAAUAAGAGAGCUAAGAAA